AAACAACUGCAUCUGGGGGAAAGCUCUGGCAACUGCCAACGGAAGAGGCUCAUCAGAGCGUGAGCGGUGAUCGUGACACAGGUGACGAGAACCCCCCCGUCAGGCCUCCCAGGACGGCUGUGCCAUCACCACACGGAAGCACCUUCUCGGACCAUCUCCUCCAACCUCCACCACCCCACACAGAAGGGACGAGCAGGUCUCCACGACAGCUGGGGCACUGGGGGAGCAGGUGAGAGGCUCCCACAGCAGUUCAGGUGAGAGGGGGUGGUGGCAGAGUGGUCAGCGUGGCUGAGACUCGCCCAAGGUCACAGGCCUGUGAGCUUCUUCACAUCUAAGGGGUCAGCGUGGGUAUCCGAAGGUGGCCCUCGCUGAAGGAACCCUCU
RNAcentral lists this long non-coding RNA (383 nucleotides) under Equus caballus (horse). Its description in RNAcentral is "lncRNA (ENSECAG00000043957.1)". Lineage: Eukaryota; Metazoa; Chordata; Mammalia; Perissodactyla; Equidae. The record is from RNAcentral.